Molecule: non-coding RNA, 1318 nt
Organism: Rattus norvegicus (Norway rat)
Lineage: Eukaryota; Metazoa; Chordata; Mammalia; Rodentia; Muridae
Source: RefSeq, a predicted model, not a curated record
UCUCUUUCUGGCUGCCUUUGGAUCAAGAUAUAGAGCUCUCAGCUCCUCCUCCAACACCAUGUCUGUCUGCACACUGCCAUGCUUCUCACCAUGAUGAAACUGUAAGCCAGUCCCAAUUAAAUGUUUACCUUUAUAAGAGUUGCCUUGGUCAUGGUGUCUCUUCACAGCAAGAGAACCCAACUAUGACAAGUCUUUAUUUAUCUCUUUAACCUAGUGCUAUUCCUGGAGUUUGGGGCAUGGUGAGAACGUUUGCUGCCCGUCAUAUCUCCAUGCCCAUGUGCUCUCUUCUUCACCAUCUGCUCUCUCUGGGUAAGCAAACAGAAAGGCGGAGAAGUUGGAAAGAAAUAAAACAAAAUCAAGUGACAUUGCUUUUCUUAGAAAGAAACAGUUUAAUCUUCGGUUGGCCAGCUUCGUCGGGACACUUCUCCUUCAUGAAUCUGGCAGCUAUCCCAGGCUCUGCCUUGCUGUGUCACUUCUCAGCCUCAAGCAACCAUUUCUAGACAAGGAGUGAUACCUCUGCAUCGAGGACAUAAAAUGGAGACUCCGUCAGAAUGCCACGGAAGCAAGAUGACAGGAGCAUGGAAGACCUGCACCACCGUCACCACCUUGACCUACACACUUCAAUCGCAGCCAUUUAAUCUGGUAAAAACAUUUCAACUCCUAUUUACCACGUACCAGGCACUGUGAUAUUUUAAAAUUAAUUUUUUUUUUCGGAGCUGGGGACCGAACCCAGGGCCUUGCGCUUGCUAGGCAAGCGCUCUACCACUGAGCUAAAUCCCCAACCCUUAAAAAUAAAUUUUUAAAUUUUAUUUUUUUGUUUUUGUUUUGUUUUGUUGGUGCUUGACGCAAAACCCUCCAGAGCAACCCUCAUGCAUCGUCCAGUCUCCCUUGUUUUACAUAUUACUGCACAAUUUGGUAAUGCAAAAGAGACUUUGGCAUUGGGAGGUUUGCUAAGUGGCGGUAAUAGAAAGUCGACUUUAAACAUGCCUACCUCCGUGAUACACACUUUCUCAGAUAUGAUCACACCAGGUCCCCCUCAGUUGACUAAGAACACUUUCAAUCCAGACCUACAGAUUACUAUGGGGGGAUUGGGGUGGGGGUACUGUCCAUUUGCCUCCCCUUUACUUCCCUGUCUGUAGACAUCUAAGUUACCAAACUGGGUUAGAGAGAGGAAAAGGGCUUUUCUUGUUAGCUUAUUAACUCAUUUUGACACAUCACAGGCCGGUUCCUGAUGAUUUGGUAGAACUGAGAGAGCUUAAAAGCAUUUUCUAAAAGCAAACCCAGGGGCUCCACAGCCAAAGAAUUAAACUAUCAGUUU